RNAcentral lists this ribosomal RNA (253 nucleotides) under uncultured bacterium. RNAcentral describes it as "partial 16S ribosomal RNA". It matches the Rfam family "Bacterial small subunit ribosomal RNA", at positions 524 to 776 of the family's 1533-position model. The record is from RNAcentral.
AACGUAGGUGGCAAGCGUUAUCCGGAAUUACUGGGCGUAAAGGGUGUGCAGGCGGGGGUGCAAGUGGGGUGUGAAAUAUCCCAGCUUAACUGGGAGGGGUUAUGCCAGACUGCAACUCUAGAGGACGAGAGAGGGGGGUGGAAUUCCGGGUGUAGUGGUGAAAUGCGUAGAGAUCCGGAGGAACCCCAGAGGCGAAGGCGGCCCCCUGGCUCGUACCUGACGCUCAGCCACGAAAGCAUGGGGAGCGAACGGG